AAGAGAGAGACAUGCGCGCAUAUCAAUAAGCGGAGGAAAAGAAACUAACAAGGAUUCCCUUAGUAACGGCGAGUGAAGCGGGAAGAGCUCAAAUUUGAAAUCUUCAAGGUUUUACCUUGACGAAUUGUAGUUUAAAGAAGUGUUUUCUGCUGAAGUUUUGGUAAAAGUUCUUUGGAAUAGGACAUCAUAGAGGGUGAGAAUCCCGUAUUUGACCAUUAUUUUCAGCUUUGUGAUACACUUUCAAAGAGUCGGAUUGUUUGGGAAUGCAGUCCAAAAUGGGUGGUAAAUUUCAUCUAAAGCUAAAUAUUGGCGAGAGACCGAUAGCGAACAAGUACCGUGAGGGAAAGAUGAAAAGAACUUUGAAAAGAGAGUUAAACAGUACGUGAAAUUGUCAAAAGGGAAGCGUUUGACACCAGUGUUGUUUUCUCGAAAAUCAAUUAAAAAUGGCUCGAUUUUGUAUUGUUGAGACCUUAAAAGCUCACUGUACAUUUUUCGUGUCUUUUGUAAUGCACUUUUCGGUUAACAAGUCAACAUCAGUUUCUUUUGUUGUAAAAGAGGUAUUCGGAAGGUGGCUUUCUUUUCGGAGAAAGUGUUUAUAGCCUUUGGCCUCUGCAAUCGGAGAGACUGAGGUCUGCAGCGUAGACUCUUCGGGGUUAGAUACAUUUGUGCUAAGUUAUAGCUUUUUAUAGACAACUUGUUGACUAUAAUUAGUCUUGUAGCUUACUCGCUUAUGCUAUUUUACCUACGCUUAGGAUGUUGAGUCGUAGAGCACGCAG
Molecule: ribosomal RNA, 776 nt
Filed under: uncultured Neocallimastigales
Lineage: Eukaryota; Fungi; Neocallimastigomycota; Neocallimastigomycetes; Neocallimastigales
Description: partial large subunit ribosomal RNA
Rfam family: Eukaryotic large subunit ribosomal RNA
Source: RNAcentral